GACGAACGCUGGCGGCGUGCCUAAUACAUGCAAGUCGAGCGAAGUUUUUCUGGUGCUUGCACUAGAAAAACUUAGCGGCGAACGGGUGAGUAACACGUAAAGAACCUGCCUCAUAGACUGGGACAACUAUUGGAAACGAUAGCUAAUACCGGAUAACAGUAUUUCUCGCAUGAGAGAUAUUUAAAAGUUGGUUAUGCUAACACUAUGAGAUGGCUUUGCGGUGCAUUAGCUAGUUGGUGGGGUAAAGGCCCACCAAGGCGACGAUGCAUAGCCGACCUGAGAGGGUGAUCGGCCACACUGGGACUGAGACACGGCCCAGACUCCUACGGGAGGCAGCAGUAGGGAAUCUUCCGCAAUGGGCGAAAGCCUGACGGAGCAACGCCGCGUGAGUGAAGAAGGAUUUCGGUUCGUAAAGCUCUGUUGUUAGGGAAGAAUGGAUAUGUAGUAACUAUACAUGUAAGAGUCGGUACCUAACCAGAAAGCCACGGCUAACUACGUG
Molecule: ribosomal RNA, 499 nt
Filed under: uncultured bacterium
Lineage: Bacteria
Description: partial 16S ribosomal RNA
Rfam family: Bacterial small subunit ribosomal RNA
Source: RNAcentral